GUGCUUGCACUCUGUGAAACAAGAUACAGGCUAGCGGCGGACGGGUGAGUAACACGUGGGUAACCUGCCCAAGAGAUCGGGAUAACACCUGGAAACAGAUGCUAAUACCGGAUAACAACAGAUGAUGCCUAUCAACUGUUUAAAAGAUGGUUCUGCUAUCACUCUUGGAUGGGCCUGCGGUGCAUUAGCUAGUUGGUAGGGUAACGGCCUACCAAGGCGAUGAUGCAUAGCCGAGUUGAGAGACUGAUCGGCCACAUUGGGACUGAGACACGGCCCAAACUCCUACGGGAGGCAGCAGUAGGGAAUCUUCCACAAUGGACGCAAGUCUGAUGGAGCAACGCCGCGUGAGUGAAGAAGGGCUUCGGCUCGUAAAGCUCUGUUGUUGGUGAAGAAGGACAGGGGUAGUAACUGACCUUUGUUUGACGGUAAUCAAUUAGAAAGUCACGGCUAACUACGUGCCAGCAGCCGCGGUAAUACGUAGGUGGCAAGCGUUGUCCGGAUUUAUUGGGCGUAAAGCGAGUGCAGGCGGCUCGAUAAGUCUGAUGUGAAAGCCUUCGGCUCAACCGGAGAAUUGCAUCAGAAACUGUCGAGCUUGAGUACAGAAGAGGAGAGUGGAACUCCAUGUGUAGCGGUGAAAUGCGUAGAUAUAUGGAAGAACACCGGUGGCGAAGGCGGCUCUCUGGUCUGUUACUGACGCUGAGGCUCGAAAGCAUGGGUAGCGAACAGGAUUAGAUACCCUGGUAGUCCAUGCCGUAAAC
RNAcentral lists this ribosomal RNA (758 nucleotides) under uncultured bacterium. RNAcentral describes it as "bacterial SSU rRNA". It matches the Rfam family "Bacterial small subunit ribosomal RNA", at positions 64 to 807 of the family's 1533-position model. The record is from RNAcentral.